AUGCAGUCGAGCGGCAGCGGGAAGAUAGCUUGCUAUCUUUGCCGGCGAGCGGCGGACGGGUGAGUAAUGCCUAGGGAUCUGCCCAGUCGAGGGGGAUAACAGUUGGAAACGACUGCUAAUACCGCAUACGCCCUACGGGGGAAAGGAGGGGACCUUCGGGCCUUCCGCGAUUGGAUGAACCUAGGUGGGAUUAGCUAGUUGGUGAGGUAAUGGCUCACCAAGGCGACGAUCCCUAGCUGUUCUGAGAGGAUGAUCAGCCACACUGGGACUGAGACACGGCCCAGACUCCUACGGGAGGCAGCAGUGGGGAAUAUUGCACAAUGGGGGAAACCCUGAUGCAGCCAUGCCGCGUGUGUGAAGAAGGCCUUCGGGUUGUAAAGCACUUUCAGUAGGGAGGAAAGGUAAUAACUUAAUACGUUAUUACUGUGACGUUACCUACAGAAGAAGGACCGGCUAACUCCGUGCCAGCAGCCGCGGUAAUACGGAGGGUCCGAGCGUUAAUCGGAAUUACUGGGCGUAAAGCGUGCGCAGGCGGUUUGUUAAGCGAGAUGUGAAAGCCCCGGGCUCAACCUGGGAAUUGCAUUUCGAACUGGCGAACUAGAGUCUUGUAGAGGGGGGUAGAAUUCCAGGUGUAGCGGUGAAAUGCGUAGAGAUCUGGAGGAAUACCGGUGGCGAAGGCGGCCCCCUGGACAAAGACUGACGCUCAGGCACGAAAGCGUGGGGAGCAAAC
Molecule: ribosomal RNA, 730 nt
Filed under: Shewanella baltica
Lineage: Bacteria; Pseudomonadati; Pseudomonadota; Gammaproteobacteria; Alteromonadales; Shewanellaceae
Description: bacterial SSU rRNA
Rfam family: Bacterial small subunit ribosomal RNA
Source: RNAcentral